Molecule: microRNA precursor, 145 nt
Filed under: Marmota monax (woodchuck)
Lineage: Eukaryota; Metazoa; Chordata; Mammalia; Rodentia; Sciuridae
Source: RNAcentral
AUAUGGNACUGCUUUCCAAAUUGGCUGCACCAAUUUGCAGUCCCACCAGCAAUGUACAAGUGUACCCUUUUCCCCACAUCCUCGCCAGCACUUGUACAUUGCUGGUGGGACUGCAAAUUGGUGCAGCCAAUUUGGAAAGCAGUAU